CUAAAUACUACCCAGUGACCGAUAGCGUAUAGUACUGUGAAGGAAAGGUGAAAAGCACCCCGGGAGGGGAGUGAAAAAGAACCUGAAACCCUGUGCCUACAAGCACCUAGAGCACGUCAAUGUGUGAUAGGGUACUUUUUGUAGAACGGUCCGGCGAGCGAUUGUAUGCAGCAAGGUUAAGGACUUAAGGUCUGGAGCCGAAGCGAAAGCGAGUUUGAAAAGGGCGUUAAGUUGCAUACAAUGGGCCCGAAACCGGGUGACCUACCCAUGGUCAGGUUGAAGUGGAAGUAAAAUUCCAUGGAGGACCGAACCGACCUCCGUUGAAAAGGCGGCGGAUGAACUGUGGGUAGCGGAGAAAUUCCAAUCGAACCCGGAGAUAGCUGGUUCUCCCCGAAAUAGUUUUAGGACUAGCCUCAAGUUAGAUACCUGGAGGUAAAGCACUGAAUAGCCUAGCGGCCGAGAGGUUAGCGAAGCUUAUCAAACUCAGAAUGCCAGAGUAUUGAUGCUUGGGAGUCAGACAGUGUCAGAUAAAUGUCAUUGUCAAAAGGGAAACAGCCCAGAUCUACAGCUAAGGUCCCAAAGUCAGGUUAAGUGGAAAACGAUGUGAAGAUACGUAGACAACCAGGAUGUUGGCUCAGAAGCAGCCACACAUUCAAAGAGUGCGUAAUAGCUCACUGGUCGAGCGUCUUUGCGCGGAGAAUUUAACGGGGCUAAACCUGACACCGAAGCUUAGGCAAUACAGCAAUGUAUUGGGUAGGGGAGCGUUGUAUACGCGGUGAAACAGUAGCGCAAGCGGCUGUGGAGUGUAUAGAAGUGAGAAUGCCGGAAUGAGUAGCGCGAAUGCAGUGAGAAUCUGCAUGGCCGAAAGCCUCAGGUUUCUGGAGGAAGGUUCGUCCGCUCCAGGUUAGUCGGGAGCUAAGGUGAGGCCUAACGGCGUAGCCGAUGCACAGACGGUAGAGAUUCCGUCACCACCAAAAGAGUUAAACACAGGGACACAUUUGAAGUCUCGGAGCCGGGUGUUGGUUCCGGUAGCGAUCGAGGGAAGUUAGUACCGAAGUCCGGGAUGGAAGAUGGCGAGAAAAGCUGUGUGUAUUUCUGCGGUGCCCGUACCGCAAACCGACACAGGUAGGUAGGAAGAAGAUUCUAAGGCCAACGGGAGAAGGGUUGUUAAGGAACUCGGCAAAUUGACCCCGUAACUUCGGGAGAAGGGGUGCUCCAGAGAUGGAGCCGCAGAGAAUCGGCCCAAGCAACUGUUUACCAAAAACACAGGUUUGUGCUAAAUCGAAAGAUGACGUAUACGAGCUGACGCCUGCCCGGUGCUGGAAGGUUAAGAGGAGAUGUGCAAGCAUUGAAUCGAAGCCCCAGUGAACGGCGGCCGUAACUAUAACGGUCCUAAGGUAGCGAAAUUCCUUGUCAGGUAAGUUCUGACCCGCACGAAAGGCGUAAUGAUUUGGGCACUGUCUCAACAGCCCGCCCGGCGAAAUUGUAGUACCGGUGAAGAUGCCGGUUACCCGCGACAAGACGGAAAGACCCCAUGGAGCUUUACUGUAGCCUAAUAUUGGGUUUCGAUGUUGCAUGCACAGGAUAGAUGGGACACUGGGAAGCAAGUGCUUUGGCAUUUGUGGAGUGGCCGUUGGGAUACCAUCCUUGCGAUAUUGGAAUUCUAACCUGCGCCUUUGAAUCAAGGCGGGGGACAUUGUUAGGUGGGCAGUUUGACUGGGGCGGUCGCCUCCUAAAGAGUAACGGAGGCGUUCAAAGGUUCGCUCAGCUUGAACGGAAAUCAAGCAAAAGAGUGCAAACGCAGAAGCGAGCCUAACUGCGAGACUGACGGGUCGAGCAGUAACGAAAGUUGGAGUUAGUGAUCCGGUGGUAUGUGAGUGGAAAUGCCAUCGCUCAACGGAUAAAAGCUACCCUGGGGAUAACAGGCUGAUCUCCCCCAAGAGUCCACAUCGACGGGGAGGUUUGGCACCUCGAUGUCGGCUCAUCGCAUCCUGGGGCUGUAUUCGGUCCCAAGGGUUUGGCUGUUCGCCAAUUAAAGCGGUACGCGAGCUGGGUUCAGAACGUCGUGAGACAGUUCGGUCCCUAUCUGUCGUGGGC
RNAcentral lists this ribosomal RNA (2097 nucleotides) under human gut metagenome. Its description in RNAcentral is "bacterial LSU rRNA". It matches the Rfam family "Bacterial large subunit ribosomal RNA", at positions 466 to 2652 of the family's 2925-position model. The record is from RNAcentral.